AUUAGAUACCCUAUUAUUUAAAAUGUAAAUUAUUUCUAGAUUAGUAUUAGUUAUGUUCUUGAAAAUUAAAAAUUUUGGCGGUUUUUUAGUCUAUUCAGAGGAACCUGUUCUGUAAUUGAUAAUCCACGAUUUAAAUUACUUUUUUUAAAGCUUAUAUAUCGUUGUAGAAUGAAUAUUUUAAAAGAAUUAAAUAUUCAAGAUUUAUUAAUAUAAAUUAGAUCAAAUCAAGGUAUAGUUUAUAAAAAAGAAGAAAUGGGUUACAUUUAUUUUAAUAAAGAAUUUAUUAUUGAAAAUAAUGAUGAAUUUGGAUUUGAUUGUAAUUUUUUAUAAAUAUAGAAAAUGAUUUUUUAGCUCUAAAUAAUGUACAUA
This 369-nucleotide ribosomal RNA is filed under the name Tetraopes tetrophthalmus (red milkweed beetle). RNAcentral describes it as "partial 12S ribosomal RNA". The record is from RNAcentral. Lineage: Eukaryota; Metazoa; Arthropoda; Insecta; Coleoptera; Cerambycidae.